This is an RNA transcript of Stegodyphus dumicola, 1660 nucleotides long. It is a transcript of the gene named luc7-like protein 3, with no coding region annotated. Lineage: Eukaryota; Metazoa; Arthropoda; Arachnida; Araneae; Eresidae. The record is from RefSeq and is a predicted model, not a curated record.
ACUAGUGUUUAUCGUUUUGUUUCGCUAGUGUGUAAUGAAUGUUCUUGGUGUGUAUAAAGUUUGGUUAAGAGUUUUGGUAAAUUCCAGUUAUUUUACCAGAAGUUAUCAAAAUGGCUUUACUAUCAGCGAAGCAGUUGUUAGAUGAACUUAUGGGAAGAGACAGGGAUUUAGGUUUAGAAGAGAAAAAGAAUGAUUUUACAUGGGAUGGACCUGAUAUAUGUAAGCAUUUCCUGGUAAAAUUCUGUCCAAAUGACCUAUUUGUUAACACAAAAGCUGAUUUAGGAGUGUGUCCUAAAAUCCAUGAUGAAAGACUUAAAAAAGAAUAUGAGAAAAGUUCCAGAUUCCAACAAAUGGGCUACGAAGAAGAUUUUUUACGUUUCUGCCAAAGCAUGUUAUCUGAUGUGGACAAGCGUAUAAGACGAGCUCGACAAAGAUUAGCACUUAGCAGCAAAGAAGCAAAUGUGUCCCAACCUACGCAAGUUAAGAAUAAUGAUGAAAAAGUGAAUGUGUUAACAGAAAGAAUUAAUGGUCUUUUAGUUCAAGUUGAAAAUUUGGGAUGUGAAGGUAAAGUUGAAGAAGCUCAGGGAAUAAUGAAACUUUGUGAACAACUUAAAGAAGAACGUGAAGCACUAAGAAAAGCUUCAGAAGCAAAUCAUUGGUUUCAGACUGCCGAAAUAGCUGCAGCUCAAGAAAAACAAAUGGAAGUUUGUGAGGUUUGUGGAGCAUUUCUGAUUGUUGGAGAUGCUCAGCAAAGAGUAGAUGAUCAUUUAAUGGGCAAACAACAUGUUGGCUAUGCAAGAUUGAAAGAAGCAGUGGAAGAAAUACUGAAUAGUAGAGAAAAGGAAAGAAGUGAUCGAGAAAAACUAAGAGAUAAAGAAAGAGAAGAAAGACGCAGACUAAAAGAAGAAGAAGAUCGUAAGAGGGAAGAAAGAAGGAAAAGGAUUGAAGAUGAACGUCGACGAGAAAUUGAAAAACAAAGAGACAGAUCUAGGAGAAGAAGUCGUAGCAAAGACAGAACUUCAAGUCGAAGCCAUUCUCACCGAAGCCGAAGUAAAGACAGAAAUUCUCAUAGUAAGAGUAAAGAUAAAGAAAAAUCUCGAAGAAGAAGUGGAAGUUCAGAACGAAAAAGAGCACGAUCCCGUUCUCGUGAUAAUGGUCAUCAUUCUCGAAGAUCUCGAUCUCGAUCCAGUGAACACAGGAAAGAUCGUGAUCGCCGAGAUCGAAGAGAAAAAGACAAAAACAAAGAUCAUAGGCGUUCAUCAUAUGAAAAUGGAGAAUCAUCAGAAAAGACAUCAAGGUCAGAGGAUGGAAAUAAAGGACACCAUUCCUCAGGUGACUGAGCUCUGAUCUAAUGUGUAGUUUUCACAGGAAUAGCUGCCAGAUGAUAGUUGUUGGCCUUGGCGAGUAAACAGAAGUUACCUGUGAAGAUAUCCUGUUGGCAUCUAUAAUAGAGUAUGCUUGGAUGUUUCCUGUUCUACUGAAGAUUGGACCAUAUAUGCAGGUGAAAAAUUAAUCAUCUCUUGUGAAAUGUAUGAUAACAGCUGUCAGUGCAGUAGUUCAUAAAGUAAAUGAUCAUGUAACCAUUUUUCAGUUAUUUAUGUAAAAUGACUGUUCACAUUUCAAAAUAUUUGUUUACAAUAAAAAUGUCCAUCUGUGGUUA